This 331-nucleotide ribosomal RNA is filed under the name uncultured bacterium. RNAcentral describes it as "bacterial SSU rRNA". It matches the Rfam family "Bacterial small subunit ribosomal RNA", at positions 568 to 898 of the family's 1533-position model. The record is from RNAcentral.
UGUGUAGGCGGUUGUUUAAGUUUGGUGUGAAAUCUCCCGGCUCAACUGGGAGGGAGCGCCGAAUACUGAAUGACUUGGAGUGCGGGAGAGGAAAGUGGAAUUCCUGGUGUAGCGGUGAAAUGCGUAGAUAUCAGGAGGAACACCGGUGGUGUAGACGGCUUUCUGGACCGUAACUGACGCUGAGACACGAAAGCGUGGGUAGCAAACAGGAUUAGAUACCCUGGUAGUCCACGCCCUAAACGAUGCAUAUUUGGUGUGGGCAGUUCAUCCUGUCCGUGCCGGAGCUAACGCGUUAAAUAUGCCGCCUGGGGAGUACAGUCGCAAGGCUGAA